Chiroxiphia lanceolata (lance-tailed manakin) is the source of this 3748-nucleotide RNA transcript. It is a transcript of the gene named cystine/glutamate transporter-like, with no coding region annotated. The record is from RefSeq and is a predicted model, not a curated record. The transcript has 11 exons. Lineage: Eukaryota; Metazoa; Chordata; Aves; Passeriformes; Pipridae.
AACCUGCAAAGAGACGCUGUCUUUUGCUGCUUCGGGAUCCCAGCAAGAAAUGGGAGUCUGAUGGAUUGUAAAUGCACCUGCUUGGUUUAAAGCCCAGCCAAACAGAUAAGUGCUCUUUUAAUUAUCUCAGAACAGUGUUUUAGGCACAGCUGUGCACAGCAUCUCUCUUCAGUUUCAAUUCGGUGAGCCUCUGUGUUUCACCCCUGCAAAUGAAUGCUGUGUGGUUCUCAUUUCAGCUGAGAAAUACCAGAUGAUAUUGGUAUUUCACGUUAAGAUAAUUAAUUGGUGUCUGAGAGAACUGCAGCUGAGGGGUUGGGAAGCUCCCAGGGGUCUUUCCCUGCUCCUCCAGAGCCACUGUCUCCAGCAGCCCUGUGAGGUUUUGGGACUCUGAGGAGCAGCUCUGUGGGACCAGACGAGGCUGAUGUGACCCAUCUGAGCCUUAAGGACUCCUCCGGGACUCAUUAGGGGUUUAAUAACUAAACUUGGCUGGUUUGACUGGGAAGAUGCGUGUGCAGGCUUGGCAUGAUCUCAGAGAAACCAGCUCAUGCUGCUGGCAGGAGAGAGGGCUUUCUGCAUGUGCUAGACAUAUGUGUGCAGAGAAAGUGAUAACCCCCACUUCCUCCUGCCGGUCUCCAGGUGGGAAAAUAGCUGGGGAUGGGGGAGAAAAGCCUUUGGUUAUACUGAGUUUACACAGGGCAUGCAAAUAAGUAUCGUGGGUAACAAGAAUUGUCCCCCUCAAAGUUAAGGGGACAUUUAUAUCUAUAGGUAGAAAAUACAGACUAUCAAGAAAGCACUUUCUGGCUGCUUAAAUCUGCUUCUAUAGGUGACCAAUAUCUCCUCACAGACACACCACUGUAAUUAUUAAAUAAUUCAGUAAGUCCAUAAAAUAGAGUCUAAUGUACGGUGUAACUUCGCAAUAGUAUACAGACAUGCAGCUGGGGCAAAUAUAUAUAUAUAUAUAAUUUAUAUAUAUUUCCAAUUUACUGCAUUAGAAUAAUGAAAAAAAAAAACCCAAACACUGAAGCUGAGUGUCUGAGUAUUGGUGGGGAUGUGUGGGGAUUAUCUACUCCAUACUUGCCUUGCCUGCUCAACCGGGGAUAAUUAGCAGUGUAAAGUAUCUACCUUGCUGUUACAAAAACUACAGACAGGUUUGCUGCAGCAAAUUGGACUGCAGUAACUGAUCUGAAUUCGCCUUACCUACCUGAGCAAAAGGUGAGUUUCUUGGUGAAGGUGGCAGCCUAGGACUGAGAGACAGGGGACAGACAAGGCAGGGAAGUGGGAGGUUGCUGCAUUGGGAGCGAACUAGAUCUGGUUCAACUCAUGUGAUCCCUGAAGUCUCUGAAGUUCCCUCUUUUCUAGGAAAAGCUUCACUGCUCCUGUUACCAAGAAAGUUUUUAUAUUAAUGGAAGAAAUGACAUGUCUGAUAGUAAUGACUAUGCUCUGUUUUGCAAUUGUAAACAGUACUUAUUUCUGACUCUUCAAUACUUUGAGAGCAAAAAGGCUUGACACCAUAUUAAGAAACACUGAUAAAAUGAAACUAGUGAGAAAAAACAAGGCUUGUUUAUUCAGGAAGAGUGGAUACAAAGCAAAAAAGGUUAAAUCAUCUGUGCACACCAACUAAUGCAGCUUAAUGUUUUUUAACCUCAGAGAUCCUCAAGGUCUUAAUUGUUAGGUUUGCAACUUUAAAUGUUUUCUGCCAGCAAGCUGAAAUCAAUGUACCCCCAAAUUAGGUUCCAUUAAAUUAACCCUAACCUGACCAGUUCCAGUCUGGGUAUCAAAGUCAAAUUUGCAAAUCAUAUCCUGAAAUGUGGCAUGCAACAUGUAAUGCUCUGUGCUGCUUGACAGAAGAGGAAGAAAACACUUAAAGUGCCUCUUGGGAGUUGUACUGAUGUGAGAGAUGAUACCAGUUGUGUUCUGUGCACUUGUGUUUGUUUGGUGCAUCCUGCAGUUGAGGAGAACAGAUUCAACAGAUCUUGACAGGUUUCUGAAAAAAAAUCUUGUCCAGAAAAGAAGAUCCUCGAAUCCCUAACUCCUUGUCUUACAGGUGAGCCUUGAGGACACCUGGGAGACUGUAGCUUCUGAAUGCAUGACCUUCCUCUGUGAUUAGAAGAAUGGGGAAGGACAAGAAAGAAGAGGCCAUCUUUCUGAGGCAAAAGAUAACUUUGCUGAGGGCUUUCUCGCUCCUCAUCGGCAGCAUGGUUGGCAGUGGCAUCUUUAUCUCCCCAAAAGGAGUACUGAAAAACACUGGCACUGUGGGUUUCUCCCUGGUUGUCUGGUUUGCCUGUGGGCUUCUCUCAAUGUUUGGUGCCUUGUGUUAUGCAGAGCUUGGAACAAGAAUCACCAAGUCUGGAGGACAUUAUAUCUACAUUUUGGAGACGCUAGGGCCUCUGCCAAGCUUCUUAUUCCUGUGGGCAGAGUUUUUUGCUAUCAGGCCUGCCAACAGUGCUGUGGUUGCCUUGGCAUUUGGACGGUACAUGCUGGAGCCAUUCUUUGCCCCCUGUGCAGCCCCUGUCCCUGCAGUGAAGCUUGUGUCUCUCAUGGGGUACUACAUGGUCCUCACCCUCAAUUCCUGGAGUGUCACCUGGAGUGCCCGGCUGCAGACAGCUCUCUCCGUUGUUAAACUCCUGGCUCUUGCACUCAUCAUCGUGCCUGGGAUGAUGCUGCUGGCCCAGGGCCACACUGAAAACUUCCAGGAUGCUUUUGACAGAGAGUCACUGGUUUUGGAUACGCUCCCCCUGGCUUUUUACGCAGGCAUGUUCGCAUAUUCAGGCUGGUUUCAGGCCAGCUUUGUGCGCGAAGAGUUGGUCAGACCUGAACGAAAUAUCCCCCUGGCUGUCAUCAUCUCCGUGAUCACGGUAAUUGUGGGGUACAUGCUCACCAACAUCUCCUAUUACACAGUCCUGGGAACACAAGAUGUUCUGGCUUCUCCUGCUGUGGCUGUGGACUCUGUUUGUGGCUUCCAGGGAAGGACAGUGGCCUCCUCUCUUCUCCAUGAUCCAUAUUCGAAGGCAUACACCCCUUCCUGCUGUCAUGUUAAUGUUCCCUUUGGUCACUGCCAUGGUGUGUGUUGGAGAUAUCUACCAUCUAAUGAACUUCUUCAGCUUUUCCCGAUGGCUCUUCAUAGGAUUAGCCACCCUGGGGCUCAUUGUCCAUCGCCACCGUCACCCGGAGUUGCACAGCCCAUUCAAGGUUCCCCUGUUUGUUCCUGUCUCUUUUACCAUCAUCUGCCUCUUCACAGUGGCUAUGUCUUUCUACUCAGACCCUGUGAGCAUUAGCAUCGGAUGCAUUGCGGUUUUAAGUGGUUUUCCAGUCUACUAUGUCCUAAUUCAUAGGCAGAUGUCAGACCGUUGCCGUAACCUGUUUUAUUAUCUUACACACAAACUACAGUUACUGCUGGAAGUUGUCCAACAAGAAAUCAAGACUUAUUGAGAAAACUAUCAGAACUCACAGGAGAAAAUGAAAUCUACUUACUCCAUUUCUGACACCUUUGAUCCUUCCAAAACCAGGCCAUGCUUUUAUUCUUUUAGUGACUGCAAAUGAGGAUGAACCUGGGCCAAAACCUUGAUGCAAGUGUUCCCAAGCUUGCCAAUUGGGAUUGGGAUGCACGUAUCACAUCUGCUUCUGCCCUUUUCUUUUUUCAGAAGAAAAAACUGGCUCUCUGAAAUGAGUUUGCUUUGGCUACAGUGUCUUUGAAAUCAAGAUCCUAAUUUUGCAGCCUAGCCCGGUCCUAAAUAAAACUGUGUGUGUA